GGGGACCCCGGGUAGGGGGGGGCACCCGCCUGAGUUUAACCUUUUCAUUAACCGGAGAAAG
Molecule: ribosomal RNA, 61 nt
Filed under: Tinospora cordifolia
Lineage: Eukaryota; Viridiplantae; Streptophyta; Magnoliopsida; Ranunculales; Menispermaceae
Description: partial 28S ribosomal RNA
Source: RNAcentral